Notolabrus celidotus (New Zealand spotty) is the source of this 696-nucleotide long non-coding RNA. RefSeq lists it as uncharacterized. NCBI's taxonomy places the organism in Eukaryota, Metazoa, Chordata, Actinopteri, Labriformes, Labridae. The transcript has 3 exons. The record is from RefSeq and is a predicted model, not a curated record.
AAGACUCUCCAGCCGUUCAGCCAAUCAGCAGCCGGGGGAGUGUCAGGGGCGGGCUUACCGUGUUGCGCUAUGGAAAAUCAUUACGGGGAUACACUUGGAUGAAUGUGCGCUCUCUGAGAUUGAAUACAACGACAACAAGGCUGAGACGAGAAUCUGCUGGUGCUGGACUGAUGGGAGGACCGGGUCUGAGCGGAACCGGCCGGGGGAAUGGAUGAGACUUCUUCAGCGUGUGAGGAGGAACAUGCUCGGGAUAAACACGAUCUGGUUUUCCAUCCUGUGCAGCCCCUCUUGGACCAGAAGCAGGACUGGAGGCCCGGAAGCAGAACCAGGAGACGACACAGUAUCCUAUGGUGGAUUUCAAAGAAGUCCACAGGGAGCUGCAGAGCAGAAGAAGAUGCAGCAUGUUUUUUCUUCUUCUGAAGGCAUCCUCCCCAGGGAACUGGUUUCAGAUGGUGUCUUAGAGAAUAAAAUCCCAUCUAGCACCAUUUGAAAUCGGUGUCCUUGAGCAGGAACAGACUUCAAGAGUGAUGACAGCGACGACCUCAUUCUCUCAGCGCUAAGGAUUACAGCUUGAAGGAAGUGUUAGCAUGCACGUUUUUUACAAACUGUCCCAGAUUUAUGACAAAUUAAAAUUCGAUGAGGCGUUCAUUGAUGAUGGAAAACGACGUGUUCAUUCUUUCUCUGGUUCAUUCCUCU